Pleuronectes platessa (European plaice) is the source of this 2581-nucleotide long non-coding RNA. RefSeq lists it as uncharacterized. Lineage: Eukaryota; Metazoa; Chordata; Actinopteri; Pleuronectiformes; Pleuronectidae. The record is from RefSeq and is a predicted model, not a curated record. The transcript is spliced from 2 exons.
GCUUCCUGGGUUAAUAUCAUGCUUCCCUUUAACGUGAGGUUUUAUUCUUGCACAGUCCCUGCCAUGUUAGAGGCGUGAAAGAGCCAAAGAAGAGGAAGGAGCACAGCAAGCAAAGCAGAGGCUCCAUUCAGCAGCGUGAAUGAGAGUGAAAGAGCCACAACGAUACAGAAGUGUGUGUGGGUUAGUCAGUGUGUGUGUGUGUGUGUGUGUGUUAGUCGGUGGUACCUGUGUGACUGAGGAGUUUAGUGAUUUCAUGCUCUGCUCCAAAACCCUUAGCUCAUCCUCCACUCGCCGAGCUCGUCUGUUAGUGGGCGUGGCGGCGUUCGUGUGCAAGCCACAACCAUUCAAACCACGGAACGCAUGCAAAUAACCAGCAGAGACAGUGAGAACACAGGGCAACACUGUUCAAAUGGUUACCAUGUCACCACACACUCUCGAGGGCCAACUGCCAGUGGUCACGUGAGCGGAAGUGCAGUAAUGUGUUCAGGGGCCGGCUGUCAUUGGAGCCUGGAAGCGUCACCUCCUCAUAUUUGCGGUCAGCCUCCUCAGCGAUGUGUUUGGCCUCUUUCAGCUGGAUCUCCUGCAGCUCCAUCUUCUCCUCGUCCUUCAUGGCCCUGUUCUCAAUGACCUUCAUGCCUCUGUGGGACAGAGCAAACAGUGGGAUCAGGAGCUGGGACCCGACAGACACAACAGUCUCCCAGAGGGAAAAACAUGUCUAAGUCUUCAAUAUGCUCUUCUAAAGGUGAACGGCUGAAUGCUUUCUGACACUGAGGGAGAAAAUACAGGAUUUGGAAUGACUGCGCCAUCGGACACAACUAGCGAGCACAGAGGCAGUGCUUGUACCCCUCACUAAGAGAUGGGGAUGUGUUCACGCCCUUGCCACCUGCUCUAAACAGCGGAAGAAACAGAAAUGGCCAAACUCACCUCUCGCUCUCAUCAGCAGCCUUCUCAGCCUCCUCCAGCUUGGUCAGGGCAGUUGCCAGACGCUCCUGUGCACGAUCCAACUCCUCCUCAACCAGCUGGAUGCGUCUGUUAAGGGAAGCGACAUCGCUCUCAGCCUGGGGAGAGAAGAACAGCGUGUCAGAAUUGUUUCGGGCCUCAAUCUUUAACGGAACAACGUGGAAUCUUCACAUGUGCACACAUUCAGGUCAGCCCAUAGAAUGUAGGUGGUGUAUGUGAGUGUAGUCAGGGUCGCACAGAAGGGUUUCCCGUUGGCACCCGUGGGGAAAUGCCCUCCCAGGAGUGUUGGCUGUGCUCCUCACUGAUCGUAAUGAUAACAAUGUCCCCGGCUGACAGAAGUUUGAAUACCCCGGCCUCAUUACUGGGCCCCUGGGAGAACAUUAACAAGGCUCAAGUCAAAGGGCCUGGGACAAUAACACUGGAAAUGACUGCUACACAUUCAACCAGGGGAAACUCUCUGGAUAGUUUCUGACUGAGGGAAACAUUUAAUAUCACCGGUCCCAUGCUGGAUGAUCUGUUUGAGCCUUGGAGGAAGAUUGCUGUUUCAUUAAUCUGGGGUGUGAUAUUGAAAAACGAGAGCAGGCCUCUCUUGAGAUCAGUCAAACCUGUGUCUGCUUCUGCUUUCUGCUUUCUGCUCGGCGUACUGAAAGAUGCACAGUGAAAACCGGAUACAGCCAGAAGUCUGAGGUCUAUUCAGGCUCUUUCCCCCUGCAGCCCGUGUUAAAGUGUGCAGGGGGUGCAUGGGCCAAAGUGCAAAUGGAGGUGUGAAGCGUGACAAGGAAGUUAGUGAUCAUCUAUAAACUGAAGCUGUGGCCUUGGUUCUGUUUAAAACACACUGUAAGGCCCUGACGAAAGAGUUUACUCUCAUUUAGGUAAGAGCUGAUGUGUCCACACUAAAGGAAGUCCCUCUAGCUGUGAAAACCUGUUGUCCUUAUAUGGGCAAGUCAAAGAGCAGACUGCCACCUUAAAUAUUCCCGCAGUUUACAUGUAACUUCCUGCUUUCUUGAAAUGAAGAGUUUGCGCCUUGCUUCUGUGGCGCCUGCAGCUGAGAAUAAACCCAACUUAUUGCGCACUAGCCCGGACGGGACCGUUACAUCGAAGCGCGUCAGAAUGAGACGUAAAGUGUCACAAAGGAGGAAGAUUUAGCACCACAUGUGACAAGGUGCUCCCAAGUGGCUGCAGCUGACUGUGAGCUGGGCAUCAACGGGCCCGACGUCUCCGGUCAUAAGCUCUGAGCCCCGGAGCAGCUGGGUAUCAGACCCGGAGCAGGACUUAGUGGUGGAGCUGCAGGGAGCCGAGAAAAGCUCAUCAUGCAGGACCGCGCCGCAUCCAGAGAGAUCCCUCGGUCUCACUGCGUAUGCAACACAGCGAGCUGCACACUAAUGCACAUUACGAGAGGGGGGUGUGAGGGCUAAUUUCUGCGUCUUUACGCGCAGUUAAACGUGCUUACUUGUUCCCUGGUCUUCUUCUCCGUUAGCAAUUCCCUCUGUAAUCUCUCGACUCUCUCCUCAGCAUUGUCCGCCUGCGUUUGCAACGAUUUGAUCCUUCGUUUCACCGCAUCCAACGAUGCAGCCCCGGCCAUUGUUUUACUCUACAGCUCUAUACAGGUAUGUUAUAAAUA